GCGCGUAGGCGGCUCGUUAAGUGUGAAGCUAAAUCUCUGGGCUCAACCCAGAAACCAUUUCGCAUACUGACGAGCUGGAGUGAUGAAGAGGUUUGUGGAAUUCCUGGUGUAGCGGUGAAAUGCGUUGAUAUCAGGAGGAACACCCAUGGCGAAGGCAGCAAACUGGUCAUCAACUGACGCUGAGGCGCGAAAGCGUGGGUAGCAAACAGGAUUAGAUACCCUGGUAGUCCACGCCCUAAACGAUGGAUACUAGGCGUAAGAGGUAUCGACCCCUCUUGUGCCGUAGCUAACGCGUGAAGUUGACCGCCUGGGGAGUACGGUCGCAAGAUUAAAACUCAAAGGAAUUGACGGGGACCCGCACAAGCGGUGGAUGAUGUGGAUUAAUUCGAUGCAACGCGAAAAACCUUACCUACCCUUGACAUGUAUGGAACCCUGCUGAGAGGUGGGGGUGCCCGAAAGGGAGCCAUAACACAGGUGCUGCAUGGCUGUCGUCAGCUCGUGUCGUGAGAUGUUGGGUUAAGUCCCGCAACGAGCGCAACCCUUGUCAUUAGUU
This 553-nucleotide ribosomal RNA is filed under the name uncultured bacterium. Its description in RNAcentral is "bacterial SSU rRNA". It matches the Rfam family "Bacterial small subunit ribosomal RNA", at positions 567 to 1116 of the family's 1533-position model. The record is from RNAcentral.